AACGAACGCUGGCGGCAGGCUUAACACAUGCAAGUCGAACGCAUCGCAAGAUGAGUGGCAGACGGGUGAGUAACGCGUGGGAACAUACCCUUUUCUACGGAAUAGCACUGGGAAACUGGAAUUAAUACCGUAUACGCCCUUUACUGGUGGACAGUAUAGGGGAAAGAUUUAUCGGGGAAGGAUUGGCCCGUGUUGGAUUAGCGAGUUGGUGGGGUAACGGCCUACCAAGGCGACGAUCCAUAGCUGGUCUGAGAGGAUGAUCAGCCACAUUGGGACUGAGACACGGACCAGACUCCUACGGGACGCAGCAGUGGGGAAUAUUGGGCGAGGGCGCAAGCCUGAUCCAGCCAUGCCGCGGGAGUGAUGAAGGCCUUAGGGUUGUAAAGCUCUUUCACCGAUGAAGAUAAUGACGGUAGUCGGAGAAGAAGCCCCGGCUAACUUCGUGCCAGCCGCCGCCGUAA
RNAcentral lists this ribosomal RNA (461 nucleotides) under uncultured bacterium. RNAcentral's name for it is "partial 16S ribosomal RNA". It matches the Rfam family "Bacterial small subunit ribosomal RNA", at positions 29 to 523 of the family's 1533-position model. The record is from RNAcentral.